This 468-nucleotide ribosomal RNA is filed under the name uncultured bacterium. RNAcentral describes it as "partial 16S ribosomal RNA". It matches the Rfam family "Bacterial small subunit ribosomal RNA", at positions 28 to 507 of the family's 1533-position model. The record is from RNAcentral.
GACGAACGCUGGCGGCGUGCUUAACACAUGCAAGUCGAACGGAAAGGCCCUGCUUUUGUGGGGUGCUCGAGUGGCGAACGGGUGAGUAACACGUGAGUAACCUGCCCUUGACUUUGGGAUAACUUCAGGAAACUGGGGCUAAUACCGGAUAGGAGCUCCUGCUGCAUGGUGGGGGUUGGAAAGUUUCGGCGGUUGGGGAUGGACUCGCGGCUUAUCAGCUUGUUGGUGGGGUAGUGGCUUACCAAGGCUUUGACGGGUAGCCGGCCUGAGAGGGUGACCGGCCACAUUGGGCCUGAGAUACGGCCCAGACGCCUACGGGAGGCAGCAGUGGGGAAUAUUGCACAAUGGGCGGAAGCCUGAUGCAGCAACGCCGGGUGCGGGAUGACGGCCUUCGGGUUGUAAACCGCUUUCGCCUGUGACGAAGCGUGAGUGACGGUAAUGGGUAAAGAAGCACCGGCUAACUACGUG